AGCGAACGCUGGCGGCAGGCCUAACACAUGCAAGUCGAACGAACCUUUCGGGGUUAGUGGCGGACGGGUGUGUAACACGUGGGAACGUGCCCUUAGGUUCGGAAUAACUCAGGGAAACUUGUGCUAAUACCGAAUGUGCCCUUCGGGGGAAUGAUUUAUCGCCCUUAGAGCGGCCGGCGUCAGAUUAGCUAGUUGGUUGAGGUAAUGGUUCACCAAGGCGACGUUCAGUAGCUGGUCAGAGAGGAAGGUCAGACACAUUGGGACUGGGACGCGGCCGAGAAUCCUACGGGAGGGAGCAGUGGGGAAUCGAGCGAAAUGGGCGGAAGGAUGACGGAGCCAGGCCGGGUGAAUGAUGAAGGUCUUAAGAAAGUAAAGUGCUUUCAACGGUGCCGGUAAUGACGGUACCCGGAGAAGAAGCCACGGCUAACUACGUG
This 434-nucleotide ribosomal RNA is filed under the name uncultured bacterium. Its description in RNAcentral is "partial 16S ribosomal RNA". It matches the Rfam family "Bacterial small subunit ribosomal RNA", at positions 29 to 507 of the family's 1533-position model. The record is from RNAcentral.